GAACAGGUGUAAAAUAGAUUUAUUUUGUGCUGACUGAACAAAGCCUUCAAUACAAAAACCAUAAGGGAAAUCUCCUAAUUCUAUCUAAAAUAUGAUAGUUUUUAACACACAUUUCACUUCUAAUAUUUCUAUAAUUAACAUGAAGACUGUAAAAAGUUUACAUAAAGUUUAAGCAAAUAAUGCAUUUCUAGGAUAUAGUAGCAUGUAUGGAGUAACAAAAUUAUAAGAGAGCUAGUUAACCAGGGUAUAUUGAAUAAUUUAUUUUACUUCUUCCUCCCAAAGAAGUUUCUUUGGUUUUAAUGAGUAUCCAUGUCUAUGAGAAAAUUAUGUAUUUGCUACAGUCAGAUGCUGGCCUAUGAUACAUGGAGGCAGAUGAAAAUCAGGAAAUACAAGUGAUACUGAUAAAGGCAGACCAAUAUCAAUUAGCUAAUGCAGUCCACAAAUCUUUUAUACAAUGAAUUUUGAAAAUUAUUUGCAUGGCUGGCCUAAAGGCUUAUUUUAGAAUAAUAAUUUAUAGCAGAUAAUUUUGAUAAUGCAUGCUAUUAUCAAAGAGUAAUUUUAAAAAUGGAAGUUGCCUAGGAAAGAAGGUUAAAAAAAAAUACUGUACCAAAAAAUUACUUUAAUAAAACAUAAAAUCCACACAAGUGUUCAGUUGUCUGAUUUCUCUAAUAUGCUUCCAGAUCAUCUUGAACUUAAGUUUUGAUUGCUAACUUUUUCAAAGCAUCAGUGGAAUCACAACCCAUUCAUUC
Molecule: long non-coding RNA, 749 nt
Filed under: Bos taurus (domestic cattle)
Lineage: Eukaryota; Metazoa; Chordata; Mammalia; Artiodactyla; Bovidae
Description: long non-coding RNA NONBTAT002787
Source: RNAcentral